AGAGUUUGAUCCUGGCUCAGGACGAACGCUGGCGGCGCGCCUAACACAUGCAAGUCGAACGAGAGAUGAGGAGCUUGCUCUUCAAAUCGAGUGGCGAACGGGUGAGUAACGCGUGAGGAACCUGCCUCAAAGAGGGGGACAACAGUUGGAAACGACUGCUAAUACCGCAUAAGCCCACGGCUCGGCAUCGAGCAGAGGGAAAAGGAGUGAUCCGCUUUGAGAUGGCCUCGCGUCCGAUUAGCUGGUUGGUGAGGUAAUGGCCCACCAAGGCGACGAUCGGUAGCCGGACUGAGAGGUUGAACGGCCACAUUGGGACUGAGACACGGCCCAGACUCCUACGGGAGGCAGCAGUGGGGAAUAUUGCACAAUGGGGGAAACCCUGAUGCAGCGACGCCGCGUGGAGGAAGAAGGUCUUCGGAUUGUAAACUCCUGUUGUUGAGGAAGAUAAUGACGGUACUCAACAAGGAAGUGACGGCUAACUACGUGCCAGCAGCCGCGGUAAAACGUAGGUCACAAGCGUUGUCCGGAAUUACUGGGUGUAAAGGGAGCGCAGGCGGGAGGACAAGUUGGAAGUGAAAUCCAUGGGCUCAACCCAUGAACUGCUUUCAAAACUGUUUUUCUUGAGUAGUGCAGAGGUAGGCGGAAUUCCCGGUGUAGCGGUGGAAUGCGUAGAUAUCGGGAGGAACACCAGUGGCGAAGGCGGCCUACUGGGCACCAACUGACGCUGAGGCUCGAAAGUGUGGGUAGCAAACAGGAUUAGAUACCCUGGUAGUCCACACCGUAAACGAUGAUUACUAGGUGUUGGAGGAUUGACCCCUUCAGUGCCGCAGUUAACACAAUAAGUAAUCCACCUGGGGAGUACGACCGCAAGGUUG
This 875-nucleotide ribosomal RNA is filed under the name uncultured bacterium. RNAcentral's name for it is "bacterial SSU rRNA". It matches the Rfam family "Bacterial small subunit ribosomal RNA", at positions 8 to 896 of the family's 1533-position model. The record is from RNAcentral.